UUCAGAAUCUGCAAAAUGUUUAUUAUUUUACCAAAAUAAGAGGGAUCAUACAAAAUGCAUGUUAUUGUUUAUUUAGUGCUGACCUGAAUAAGAUAUUUCACAUAAAAGAUGUUUACAUAUAGUCCACAAGAGAAAAUAAUAGUUGAAUUUAUGAAAAUGACCCCGUUCAAAAGUUUACAUCCCCUUGAUUCUUAAUACUGUGUUGUUACCUGAAUGAUCCACAGCUGUGUUUUUUUGUUUACUGAUAGUUGUUCAAGAGUCCCUUGUUUGUCCUGAACAGUUAAACUGCCUGCUGUUCUUCAGAAAAAUUGUGAAAGGGGUAUGUAAAUUUUUGACCUCAACUGUACAUACAUACAUACAUACGUACAUACAUACACCGAUCAGCCAUAACAUUAUGACCACUGACAGGUGAAGUGAAUAAUAUUGAUUAUCUCGUUACAAUAGCACCUGUCAGAGGUUGAGAUAUAUUAGACAGCAAGUGAGCAGUCAGUACUCGAAGUUGAUGUGUUGGAAACAGGAAAAAUGGGCAAGCGUAAGGAUUAGAGAGACAUUGACAAGGGCCAAAUUGUGAUGGCUAGAUGACUGGGUCAGAGCAUCUUUAAAACAGCAGGCCUUGUGGGGUGUUCCUGGUGUGACCUCUUUUGGCAGGAUAAUGCGCCCUGCCACACUGUAAAAAUUGUUCAGGAAUGGUUCGAGGAACACGACAAAGAGUUCAAGGUGUUGACUUGGCCUCAAUCCAAUCUAAUCCAAUCGAAUAUCUGUGGGGUGUGCUGGCCAUCAAGUCUGAUCCAUGGAGGGCCCACCUCGCAACUUACAGGACUUAAAGGAUCUGCUGUUAACGUCUUUGUGCCAGAUACCACAGCACACCUUCAGGGAUCUAGUGGAGUCCAUGCCUCGACAGGUCAGAGCUGUUUUGGCAGCAAAAGGGGGACCAACACAAUAUUAGGCAGGUGGUCAUAAUGUUAUGGCUGAUUGGUGUAUCUACUAUAUAUAGUAGAACACAUCAAAAUAUUCAAGGGUGAAUGGUUCUCUCAGUCCACCACUCAUAUGUGGUGGAAAAUAUGGAGGCAGAAAUGUGUGUGUACCUAGUAAACAUAUUUGGCAUUUACUUCACUAAUGCAACAGUGGAAUCGAUUGAACUGAGUUGAGCAUUCAUCCUGAACAUUCAUCUUUAGAAACAGAUAUGUGGGGGUUCUUAGUAUCUCACGGCCGUGCUUGGGAAAAGGUCUUGGAAUAUAAAUGAGUGAAACGUGUUGUAUGCAAACACUGUAUCCUCAGUGCUCCUGAGUGCUUCCUGCUGAGGCCGAAGCAGUGUUGCAUUGCUCUUACAGUGCAGCAUGGAUCCAUAUUGAUGUGAAGCGAAUAAUUACCUGAGUGCUUGGUUGGGCUUUUGUCCACAGAGUCUCAUUCACCUCCAAUCACACAUUUAUUGAUACAUACAGGUUUGCUAAAGCAGCGCUCUUCCCCUCAAAUUAUGUUAAUCUGUUUUGGUAAUAUUGACCGAAGGCUAAAUCAAUGAAAAUGCUAUUGGGUUCACUCAGUGAAAGAGAAUUUUGCCUUACAGAGGAUCACGUCUAAACAUUUACCUCUAUGUGUUUUCCUAAAGGCAAAUGUUUAUUGCUUGUUAGCUAUUGUAUUAUACAACAACUAGUUGAAUACUAAUUUUGUUGCUUUGAUCAUCGUUUUUGUCUCGUCAGAUAUCAUCAUCCCUGAUCCCUGUAUUGGUUUUUAGACUUGCACUGGAGCCUUUUUGCUUUAUCUGAAUGUUUAUCAUCCUUUCUGCAUCAUCCUUGCUGCUGAAUCCAUUCAGAACAAUAAUCCAUAACCCAUUCUAUGAAAAUAAAGAGCCUUUUGGAGCAGAUGUGGUUGAGUUAAUGAGUAUGAAUUGGACAAUGUAAUACAUUUUGCAUGCUUUUUUCAUUUCGCAUUUGAUUUUAAACUAAUCUGGAACAAUUACAAACAGAUGCAAGGCUUUUUUCCUACUCUAAGACGAAGGUCUACAUCCAAUCUCUCCCCUUUGUUGUAAGAAAAGAUUUCGAAAUAUCUAAUAAUGUAGCCUAAUGAGUCAGCUAUGAGAUGUGUGUCCUCCUGAUGUGUCAGUUGAAAGACACUAAUGGUUUUUUCUUCUACUUUCAGUCAUGUGUCAUUGACAAGACUGAUUCAUUUAAAUACCAGUAAUUAAUUGCAGUACUGUGCCAAGAAUUAGGCGCAUGGUGAAUUUAAUGAGUUUGAGAUUUUAUGAAAAGUAAAUGCUGUGCUAUUCAUCAUGUGUCAUCUAUGAUGCUUUGGCACAUUAUAGCAGCUCAUAGUGAGUCCAAAAGGAAUGACUGUAGCAGCACUUUGCACUCAGAGUUUCUCUUUAUGUAGCCUGGUAUGGCAUUAAUCAUCAAUCACACACACUGAAUGCCCUGAUGGUUACAAAAAAGCAGCUUUGAAACCUGAUGUAGUCCAAAAACACGCUUACCCUGACCGUGGUGCGGCUGUCAAAAGUGAAGGACUUGAUUUGCCCAUUCUCCAGGAACACCUUCAACACGUUGGGUAUUAGUAGCAACGAGUCGUCCUUAAGCAUGGUCUAACAGAGAGCAAGAAAAAGUAAAAAGAAAGAAGAAAUAAUGAAAAAAGGCUAGUAGUUGGUGACUCCUGGACCAGAGAGGUUCUUGCAUAAAGAGUAUCACAUAAGGUACUUUAUAUGCUCAGUAAGGAUAUCGAUUAGGUUGUAAGGGAAGGGGAAAUAAAAAGGUUAUGAGAAUUAUAACUUGGGAAUGAGAAGGGACAAGAACACAGUAUCCAGUCAGACAACAGUUAAAAGGACAAGGUGUGUUACAGCCCGUGAUGCAAAUUCAUUAGUGCAGUGAUGCCAGAAUGAGGAAAAAAACAAUACUUUUGGAGUCUACAGGAGUACACUCUGGAACAAUCAAAGAGCAAUUUGUUUAAUUUCUAUAGUGCAUCUUUUUAAUAUGUAUGCACAAUCAGACACUGGAGCUGGAUUUAUUCAUGCUGAAGAGUUCUGGCUCAAGGUUACAUCUAUUUCCAUGACUUCCACAUCAUUUUGAAUAUUUGGAGGAGGUAUUUUCUACUAUUACUAAAAGAAUCUUCUGAAUGGGUUAUUUAUUGAUGUAAUUUUUUUUUAAGUGCGUCUCCUCUCAGAACAUAUAGAAAGAGAUUACUUCAUUAAAUGUGUAAUGACACUGUGACAUAAUAUGUGUCUUGUGUUAAAUUUCAAACAACUGUUUAAAAUUGUUUGCGCUCCAACCCAAUAGCUUUUCCCCCUACACCUUGGGGCUAUAAGGUUCAUAUGCACUUAUAUGCAAAAAGAAAGUCUCUGUGUGACACUUUCUAGUCAGGUGAUAUCUAUAAUAAAGUAUUAUAUACAUUGUUAUAUAUCAUUAUGUAUAGUACACAUCAUUAUAUAUGAAAAUGCAUUAUAUUUUAUAGCUAUUUUCAUUAUGAAUUAUAAAUUGUUACAUAAUGCAUUACAAGCACUUCUCAUAGCACCCUAUCACCAUUAUGAAAGGAACUCAGCCCCAGUUCGUAUAAUGCAUUAUGAGGGGUUUCUUUUUAAUAAUCUGCAAUAAUAGUCAAUACUCAGAAAGUAUUGGAACGGCAAGGCCAAUUCUUUUGUUUUUGCUAUACACUGGUGACAUUUGGGUUUGAGAUCAAAAGAUGAAUAUAAGAUGAUAGAUAAGAAUUUCAGCUUUCAUUUCCUGAUAUUUACAUCUAGAUUUGUUAAAGAAUUUUCAACAUGGCACGUUUGGUGGCAGACGAUCCAAUUUUAGGUGAGCAAAGUAUUGGAACAGAUAGUCUUAAAGUAAAUUACACUUUAUAUUUUGUUGCAUAUCGCUUGUUUACAGUAACUGCAUCAAGUUGGCAACUCACUGACAUCACCAAACUGUUGCAUUCUUCUUUUGUGAUGCUUUUCCAGGCUUGCACAGCUUCGUUCAGUUGUUGUUAGUUAGUUAGUUGGGGGUUUCGCCCUUCAGUCUCCUCUUCAGGAGGUGAAAUGCAUGCUCAAUUGGGUUAAGGUCAGGUGAUUGACUUGGUCAGUCUAAAACCUUCCACUUUUUCCCCUGAUGAAGUGCUUUGUUGUGUUGGCAGUGUGAUUUGGGUCAUUGUUUUGCUGCAUAAUGAAGUUCCUCUAAAUUAGAUUGGAUGCAUUUCUCUGUAAAUUGGCAGACAGGAUGUUUCUGUAGACUUCUGAAUUCAUUCUGCUGCUACCAUCAUGAGUUACAUCAUCAAUAAAGAUUAGUAAGCCAAUUCCAGAAUCAGCCACGCAAGCCCAAUCCAAGACACUACCUCCACCAUGCUUGACCGAUGAGCUUGUACAUUUUGGAUCAUGAGCAGGUAAUUUCUUUCUCCACACUUUGGCCUUUCCGUCACUUUGGUAGAGAUUAAUUGGUUCCAGAGGUUUUGUGGCUCAUCUCUGUAUUUCUUUGCGAAUUCCAAUCUGGCCUUCCAAUUCUUUCUGCUGAAGAGUGGUUUGCUUCUUGAGGUAUGGCCUCUAUAUUUCUGCUCUCGAAGUCUUCUUCGAACGGUGGAUUGUGAUACCUUCAUCCCUGCCCUGUACAGUUUGUUGGUGAUGUCACGGAUUGUUGUUUUUUGGUUUUUCUUCACAGCUCCCACAAAGUUUUUGUCCUCAACUGCUGUUGUUUUCCUUGUCUGACCUGUUCCAUGUCUGGUCAUUAGGACACCAGAGAUUUCUUUCUUUUUCUUGAUGUAUUGUCUAUGCCCAAUGCUUGUGCAAUGUGUGUGAUCAAUUCUCCCUCUUUUCUCAGAUUCAUAAUGGCUUGCCUUUCUCCCAUACACAGCUCUCUGGUCUUCAUGUUGGUUUAUCCUUUUUAACAACAAACCCAGGGCUCAAACUAAGAGUAGAUAUUCAGAGCUAUUAAUUGUUUAAUCAAUCAGCCUAACAUGGCACACCUGGGCAACAAGAAACACCUGUCACAUGUUCCAAUAUUUUUUAUCAUUUGAAAACUGGAUGGGUUCAAACACAAGGUGCCAUGUUCUAAGUUGUUUAACACAUCUAGAUGUAAAUAUCAGGAAAUUAAAGCUGAAUUCUGAUUUAUUGUCUCAUUCAUCUUUUGAUCUCAAACCCAAAUGUCUUCAGUAUAUAGCAAAAACUUCUAACACAUUAUGUUAAGAAUUUAUAAACACUGCUACGAACAGUAAUGCAUUUUCUUAAAUAGUCAUAACAAUGUAUAUAAUACCUCAUUAAUGCAUUAAGCUUUAGAGGCUAAUUUAUUCAUGCAAAUGUAAUUCAAUGGUUCAGUGAGAUGUGAUAUUUGUUUCAUAUAUAUGUACCAUGUAUAUGUAUAUACAGAACUAGCUAUAUAAUACAUACAGGUGACAAAUUAAAGGAAAAAACAGCAUAAAGUGUGUUAGAAAGGUAUUGGACCACUACGAGCUGCCAGAACAGAUCAUGCCUUUGCAUCGAUUCUACAAGUCUCUGGAACUGUACUGGGGACAUAAAUACAGUUCUUCCAAAAGAUUUUCCCUCAGUUGGUGUUUUUGGUGAUGGUGGUAUACAGCGCUGUCUAACUUGUUGCUCCAAAAUCUCCCAUACCAUAGGUGUUUGUUUGGGUUGAGAUCUGUUGACUGAGAAGGCUAUAGCAUUCGAUUUACAUUAUUUUCAUACUCAAACCAUUCAGUGACCCUUAUUCCCUGUGGAUGAGGGUGUAGUCAUCCUUGAAGAGACCACUCCUAUCAGGAUAGAAGUGUUUCUUGAUAGGAUAAAGAUGAUCAGUUAGAAGAGCUUAUAUUGAUUUGGGGACAAGUGGAUCCAAACCAUACAAGCAAAAUGUUUCCAACAACAGAACAAUGCCACUGACUUUUCCGUUACUUUGGCACCGUUCUGUAUGUAUAUUUGUAGUAAAAGUUAUUCUUUUUCAGUGUCUACAAGCUUAGACUGCUAUAAACUAUAAACUGCUCAUCAGGUAUUACAGAAGUUACAAUGGUGGUUCUUAUAGACAUUCUCAUUUUAUUGUUAUCUCUUCAACCACAUGAAGCUUUGACCCAGUGCUUUGCGUUGAUGUCUUGACAUUUUCACCCUCCUUCAUUUCAUUUUUUUAGAGUGUUCUUCCUUUUGGUCUGCUUCUUCCUUGCUGCCUUCUUUUCACGUUUAAUUCUGUUAAGGUGCCUGGUGUUGGUUCCUUGUUGACAUGACUGUGCCAUCAUCAUACAGCAGAUCUGUAAGGAUCAUCUGAUGAAUGCAGAAAGGACUAUUGGCAAGUCAGAUGAAACAGUCCCCUAGUCUGUCAAUUGCCAGUUGCGCAAGAUGGACUGAAAUGAUUAGGGAGGCUCAGAAACCACCCCAAGCACGUUACCACUGAUAUGAUUUGGGAAAAAGAUGAGCGUGACAGGCAGCAGGACAUACUGAGUCUGGGUCACUGAUGGACACUUGCUCAGAAAAGCGCACUUUGGGGGGAUUGGUUCGCAGGCGAGCUUUCUUGGCUGCACUUAUGAAGGCAGAUUUAGGCGACUAAGGGAACAAAACAGAGAGAAAGAAGAAGAAGUGAAUUACUUCAUUUCAUGUCACCAUAAAGAUUUUUUAAUGAAUUCAGCAAAUUGGUAAGCAGUGUGUUUGGUUUUAAGAUGUUAUGUGGACAGCAGAGGUUAGUAAUAACAUGCAAGUUACAUGAGUAACUUUGAACAAAUUAUACUCUUACUCCAGUAACACUUUGUUCACACUAGUAAGCGACAAAUGACCAUUCUGAUUAUCCUUUCAUUAAAUGUGUAUAGAAACAUUACAAAGAAUAAAGCUUGGAAGGAUAUUGUAGAAAUUGUUCGUGCCUCUGGUGAAUGUUAGCUUGCUUUGCUCAUCUGCCAGCAAAGCCUAUGAAGUCUAGCAUGUAACGUGUAAAUCAAACAACCAGAUCAAAUCAGUUUUUACACUGAUUAGUGGAUUAUUUAAUUCAGUUUAACUAGUUAGCUUUAAAAAUAUAUAUACACUAUAUGGUAUAUAUGCUACUACCAUUCUCAUUAUUAAAAAAAAAAGCUGGACAGUGCAUGGCCACAAGCAACGACAGUAGCAGUCACACCAUGGCUGCAAGAGACAAACUACAAUCGAGCCAAGGGACUCAUUGCACCCUAGUGUGAACAUAAGGUAAAGUAGUAUAGAGAAAAAUGUAUUUACUUUAUUAAAUUUGGGCUAUGUUCUCCCCUCUACAUUAGAUUUGUGGCUGAAUCCCAAAUGCCUCAACAUUCCCUCUAUUAAAGAUGUGCACUAAGAUUAACUAUAUCAAAGUUAGCUAGCAAAGAAUGCUAUGCAUAUUUUUUCUUCACAGACUAGAGGUGUUCUUUAUAUGAUUUUAUACAUACGUAUGUUAUGGUUAUGAUCUUAUCAUCAUCAUCAUGAUCAUCAUUGCAUGUUUACAAAUGUGAAACUGAUCCUUAUCUCAAGUAUCAUGCUACUGAAAUUGUUUUUUACCAGAUACUUUUGCACACUUACUCUAGUAGUUAUUCUAAUGACUACUUAUACUUUCACUUAAGUUAUUAUUUUUUAAAAGUAAUCGAACUAAGAUUCUUACUAAGACUACUCUACACAUCUCUGCUGAACAGUCAUGUGAAAUAAAUGGUGGGAAAAAAGGUU
Pangasianodon hypophthalmus (striped catfish) is the source of this 7585-nucleotide long non-coding RNA. RefSeq lists it as uncharacterized. The record is from RefSeq and is a predicted model, not a curated record. Lineage: Eukaryota; Metazoa; Chordata; Actinopteri; Siluriformes; Pangasiidae. The transcript has 3 exons.